Molecule: ribosomal RNA, 253 nt
Filed under: uncultured bacterium
Lineage: Bacteria
Description: partial 16S ribosomal RNA
Rfam family: Bacterial small subunit ribosomal RNA
Source: RNAcentral
UACAGAGGUCUCAACCGUUGUUCGGAUUCAUUGGGCGUAAAGGGUGCGUAGGCGGUCGCGCAAGUCGGAUGUGAAAUCUUGGGGCUCAACCCUGAAACUGCAUUCGAUACUGCGUGGCUAGAGUACUGGAGAGGAGACUGGAAUUUACGGUGUAGCAGUGAAAUGCGUAGAUAUCGGGAGGAACACCAGUGGCGAAGGCGACUACCUGGCCUGUUCUUGACGCUGAGGCGCGAAAGCUAGGGGAGCAAACGGG